Lonchura striata (white-rumped munia) is the source of this 332-nucleotide non-coding RNA. Lineage: Eukaryota; Metazoa; Chordata; Aves; Passeriformes; Estrildidae. The record is from RefSeq and is a predicted model, not a curated record.
GGGUGCGAGCACAUAGCAGUCUGCCCAAAACCUUCUCUUUUGGCAAACAGCUGGAAAAAGGACCGGGGAGGAAACAGGGACCGCCUUAGCCGGCAAGGGAAGGCACGCCGCACGCAGACCCACAGUGAGCCUGCACGGCUUUCUCGGCUUUCGGCUUGUCCCUGCUGUGUCAGGCCUCUUCAUUCAGCUUAACACUGAGAGCUUCAGGGGUUCUCUUGUGUUGGCAGCAGCUGCUGAUCCCAAGUGAAACAGCUGCCACAUUCUCCUUCUUGAGGAUGCAUCCCAAAAUGGGCUGUUUCUUCUGAGAGGACAACAUAGCCUCCAAUUUGGCA